UAAUAAUGUUGAGGGUAAUUUCUGAGAAUACUUUUAAAUCUCUCCCAAGCUUAGGAGAGAUUCUCUCCUUUCUAUUGUGUAAAACUCAGAAUCUCACUUCUUAAAUG
Molecule: non-coding RNA, 107 nt
Organism: Capsicum annuum
Lineage: Eukaryota; Viridiplantae; Streptophyta; Magnoliopsida; Solanales; Solanaceae
Source: Rfam